Aegilops tauschii subsp. strangulata is the source of this 1306-nucleotide non-coding RNA. The record is from RefSeq and is a predicted model, not a curated record. NCBI's taxonomy places the organism in Eukaryota, Viridiplantae, Streptophyta, Magnoliopsida, Poales, Poaceae.
UAUGCCACUGUGCACUAUGCACACUCGAAGAUUUAUUCACAUUUUUUGUCCCUCCACUUUUCCUAAUUAAUCUAGAUGAUGACAUCUCUGUUCACUGCAUUCCUAUUUGAACCUCUGUUGACAUUGCAUAAGUUUGUGUUGAUUAACUUCCUUGUUUUACUCACUUGUUUGACCCAGGCACCUGAAGGUUCUACCAUGCCAAAAACGAAAAAGCAUGUCAGAUGCAAAAACAGCGCAGCUGCUACCUCAAGAAUAACAAGAUCUAGAGCUACCAGAACAACUGAGUCAUUUGAAGCUACAAACCAUCAAGAACAGUCUGCACCAAACCCAACAAACACAUCACCUCACCUAACUUCUAAGGAUAGCAACUCGCCUGAUGCUGAUUCAGGGGUACAAGGUUCUCAAGACAUGAUAGGCACAUCCGGACAAUCAGAUAACAUUAUUACAUUACAAGACCAAGGUAUAUGCGACAUCAUCGCUUCACCCCUUCUAUUUUCCACUUUAAAUUGUAACCUUCUAAUUUAUCUGCCAACUUGUAAUGUAGAUGCAUUAGCAUGCUCCACUGGUCCAACUGAUCCACGUCCGUCAAGGAGAGGUCGUGGACGUAGACCAACCAUGGGGCAUGGGCUUCAGGAGUAUGCAAUCAGGACCCAAGUCCCAUUGAAUUUUUCAAAGACACCCAUACAAACAGCAAGACCGGUAGCAUGAGCGAGCCAGCACUUCUAGCUCAUAAUGCGAUGGAAAAGAAAAGGGAAACACAAUCAGAAGGUGAGCAGCCAGUAUCCGAUACAGCGAUUGUGGCUGAAGUUCUAAAGGAAGAAAGCGCCCAUAGCACCUUCCUUGCCAGCAUGGGGCAUGCAUCAAGAUCCGGGAGGUCUGGGAGCUCUACUUGAUCAGCCCAGAUCAAAGUUUUAGAAGAAAGAAUUGAACAGAAGGAUAGAGAGGCAAGAGAUGCAAAUGUCAGGCAUCGAGAGGAGUUAGCCGCAAGACUUGAAGCAUAAGAGAGAGCAUUUGAAGAGAUACAAAAGAAGCAGCAAGAAGACUUGGAAGCUCUAAAGAAGAUCUAGCAAGAGAAGAAUGAAGCCUGGACAAAGAAGCAAAAGGAGACGGAUAAUCUACUUGAUUUUCUCUUGAGGGCUCAAGCAACUCAGCAGUCCCAGUCCAAACCAGAUGGUUCAUGAAUGCCAUCCUUACAUUGGAAUCAUCAGGAUAACAUAUGUGUCUUUAGUUAAUAUUAGUUUUCAUCUUGUCUAUUAUAUGUGUCAAACUUGAGUCAGUUUUGUACUGUCAUUUUUUUAUAGAAUGA